RNAcentral lists this ribosomal RNA (495 nucleotides) under Triticum aestivum (bread wheat). RNAcentral describes it as "partial small subunit ribosomal RNA". Lineage: Eukaryota; Viridiplantae; Streptophyta; Magnoliopsida; Poales; Poaceae. The record is from RNAcentral.
AUGACUUUGAUUGAUGAUGCGACUAGAUUUUGCUAUGUUUAUUUGUUGCAAACUAAAGAUGAAGCAUUAGACUACUUUAAAAUCUAUAAAGCUGAAGUUGAAAAUCAACUAGAGAGAAAGAUCAAGCGUCUUAGUGUUCCCAACAAUAAUAAAAAGAAAACCCCUUAUGAGGAGUGGGUUGGGAGAAAACCAUCACUUUCUUAUUUGCGCACUUGCGGAAGUUUGGCAAAGGUCAAUAUUCCUAUUCCUAAGAAACGCAAACUUGGACCAAAGACAGUGGAUUGUGUCUUUCUAGGGUAUGCUCAACGGAGCAUUGCUUAUAGGUUUUUAGUGGUAAAAUCUGAAGUACCUGAUAUGCAUGUUGAUACUAUAAUGGAAUCUCGUGAUGCAACAUUUUUUGAGAACAUAUUUCCUAUGAAAGAUAUGCAUAGUAUUGCUAGAUUGUCUUCUGAGAUAAUUCAUGAAUCUAGUACAACUGAUGAAUAUUUCGAAUAA